AAGGGGCAAAGCACAUACAUGUAUUGAUAAACUUAGGGCAACUUUAUGAACUAUUUAAAUCUGAUCUGCAACAGUGUUACACAGUGCUGUUAUAUUGAAACAGAUGCUCAUCAACUUUCACUUCAGCAUAUCAAAGGUGAAGAUCUUUUAUGCAUGAAAAUACCCCUUCCACCAAGUAGAGGAUGACAACAAAAACAGCCCAAUGCCUCAUGUGAACUGGUAUCAAAGUUUAUGAUUGAGUCCCUGUAUACAGUAUACAGUAGUUUUCAGACUAUUGUAAUGAAAUUAAAGGUAUGGAAAAUA
Molecule: long non-coding RNA, 303 nt
Organism: Anolis carolinensis (green anole)
Lineage: Eukaryota; Metazoa; Chordata; Lepidosauria; Squamata; Anolidae
Exons: 2
Source: RefSeq, a predicted model, not a curated record